This 253-nucleotide ribosomal RNA is filed under the name uncultured bacterium. RNAcentral describes it as "partial 16S ribosomal RNA". It matches the Rfam family "Bacterial small subunit ribosomal RNA", at positions 524 to 776 of the family's 1533-position model. The record is from RNAcentral.
UACGUAGGGUGCGAGCGUUAAUCGGAAUUACUGGGCGUAAAGCGUGCGCAGGCGGUGAUGUAAGACCGAUGUGAAAUCCCCGGGCUUAACCUGGGAACUGCAUUGGUGACUGCAUCGCUCGAGUAUGGCAGAGGGGGGUAGAAUUCCACGUGUAGCAGUGAAAUGCGUAGAGAUGUGGAGGAAUACCGAUGGCGAAGGCAAUCCCCUGGGCCUGCACUGACGCUCAUGCACGAAAGCGUGGGGAGCAAACAGG